This 253-nucleotide ribosomal RNA is filed under the name uncultured bacterium. Its description in RNAcentral is "partial 16S ribosomal RNA". It matches the Rfam family "Bacterial small subunit ribosomal RNA", at positions 524 to 776 of the family's 1533-position model. The record is from RNAcentral.
UACAGAGGUGGCAAGCGUUGUUCGGAAUUACUGGGCGUAAAGGGCGCGUAGGCGGCCUUCUAAGUCAGACGUGAAAUCCCCAGGCUUAACUUGGGAACUGCGUCUGAUACUGGGAGGCUUGAGUGCGGGAGAGGGAUGUGGAAUUCCAGGUGUAGCGGUGAAAUGCGUAGAUAUCUGGAGGAACACCGGUGGCGAAGGCGGGUCUCUGGGCCGAUACUGACGCUGAGGAGCGAAAGCGUGGGGAGCGAACAGG